GGUAGCGCCGCGCCGGCCGCCUCUGCCCGGACGCUCAGGAAAUGGUCCCGCCACGGCGGGAGGGAGCGGCUGGGCCGCGCUGUCACAGGAAACGCGGGGCCCGCCCGCCACACUGCCCCAACUGUGCCCUCGACCCUCUGGGGAAGAGGCUCGCCCGGGCGGCCGCCCAGAGGGAAAGAGGACAGUCGGGGCUCCGGAGCGUCUACCGGGUCAGCACAGAGAACGCGGAUUCGCUAGUUUAAAUGGCUCCCUGCGCUCCACGUGCGCACCUCGGAGUGCACGCUCGUCUAGUCUAGCCUAACAGUGGAGAGAACCCCGGACUCGGAGUUUGCCUAAAGAUAGACCCUGCCCACACUUGUGGAUCUACUUGAUCUGACUUGGGGCCUCUGGAAGGAAGCUGUGAAAAGCCACCCUCUUCUCCAGUUAAAUACUUAGUGCUUAAUUAGGCCCAGGCUUCAAGUCAGUAUGAAGGGAAUAAAGCCAACAGCUGCAAAUUCAAAAGGAACACGUUGCUGUGGAUUAAUUCUGCAACAUAGACUUCCUAGUCGCACAAAAGAGAAGUUUAUGUGAAUCGUUACUUAACAUCACUGAUGCUCAAAAAUUAGUGCCUAACUGGAUGUCAGGGGUGCUCGCCUUUAAUCUCAGCACACAGGAGGCAGAGGCAAGCAGAUCUCUGUGAGUUCAAGGCCAGCCUGCUCUACAGAGUGAGUUUCAGGACAGUUAGAGCUACACUGACGGCCACUGUCUCACAAGACC
RNAcentral lists this long non-coding RNA (756 nucleotides) under Mus musculus (house mouse). Its description in RNAcentral is "long non-coding RNA chr18:14683024-14683780". Lineage: Eukaryota; Metazoa; Chordata; Mammalia; Rodentia; Muridae. The record is from RNAcentral.